Molecule: long non-coding RNA, 2052 nt
Organism: Nycticebus coucang (slow loris)
Lineage: Eukaryota; Metazoa; Chordata; Mammalia; Primates; Lorisidae
Exons: 3
Source: RefSeq, a predicted model, not a curated record
GCUGCCGCCGCUGCCACCGCUGCCCGGGCGACCGGGGGCCGCGCGGGGGCUCUGGGGGGAGGAGCAGUGGGUCUCGCCGCCCGGCCCCGCCCCGUGCCCCCUGCCCCGCGCGCCCCCUCCCGGCUAGGCUCGGGGGCUCCAGGGGCUCCGCUCGCCUCAGCUGGGUAUUUUCCAGGCUGCGGAGGUAAAGCUGACGGAGCUCGGAGCCCCGCCCCGCCCCGCCCCACAGGGUCCUAGUGCCCGCCCCCUAUGUCCCGGGAAGAGACCCGGCCCGGGAGGGGCCAGUGCUCAGGCAAGGAUUGGGGACCGGAUAGGAGUGGCCAAGAUGGAGGGGGCUCCGAGAGGAAGUGCCGCCGGGUGCUAGAAGUGGGAUUCUGGAAGUUAAUUGUGAACCCCUUCUCUCCACUCCCUCCCAUACUCGCAGGUGCACACCUCUGCAACAACCUACAGUAUUUACAUACAGGCCGUUGUCCCCCAGAACAACCCAGAGACAUCCCACACACACACACAACACCCCAGAGAUCCAAAGAUGGGCACGCACUCCCACGACAAUCAAGAGACUAACUCGGAGAGAUGACAGCCCUGCAUCCCCCACCAACCUAGAGACACAUCAAGCCUGCACAUAACCUACCCAAUUCCCAGUUGGGUGUGCAAGCACAGCCGGAAAUUAAUUCAACCCACAAGGUUCAAGGUUCACAAGGUGGCCAGACUUGGGCAAAACUGCCACUCCAGCCUCACCCCCACAUGGGAGCUUUAAUUAGUACUCCCUACAACCCCAGACUCUUCCGUCUUUGUCCACCAGCACCCCUCCUCAAUGCACACAUGCCUCUAAUGGGUUAGAUUACCUGUGAGUACCUGACCCCAGAGCUCUGGGGCUCCCUUCCCUCCCCAGGCAGGGGUAGCCAGAGCUCCAAAUUGCUGGCCAUUCCUCCCAGCCUAGGAGGAUGCUCCUGCCACUUGAGUCCUAGUGCCUCCCUCUACCCCCUCUGCCUCCCUCUACUCCAUGUGAACUGAGGCCAACAGCUCAACUUCUCUGAGGCCAGGCCAGUAUGAGUGUGGCAGCCUGUCCCGAAGGUAAGCAUUCACUUACUCCAGUGACUGGCCCUGGUCCACUGCCCUGUGGUAAACUCCUCUGGAUGGGCAGCUAAUGGGGCCCACCACAUGCCUUCCCCUUGCCUAGUGUCGGAGUAAGUCCUGACCACUGCCCAGGCCUCAGAAAGGACCCCAGGAGUCCUUUCUCUGCCCUGGCUGUCCCAUCCUCUCUGCACCUUAGAUUCCUAUCUAUAGAAGUUGAGAAUCAGAAUGUAUAAUGAAUGCUCAGGCACCGCCUGGGCUCACCAUCCUAGAGCCAUGGGAUGAAAAGCUUUUCUUGAAGGUGCUAAGAGAAAAACAAGGAAUGGCAGAGUCAUCACGGUGGAUUCACAAAUAGAGUUUUUGGCUGGUGUCGGGUUUGAACCCACCACUUCCAGUAUAUGGGGCCAGUGCCCUACUCCUUUGAGCCACAGUCCCCUCCCCCAGGAAUUUAGGUAUCUCUGGCUCUGGUGCUCAUGACAGCCUCUCAAACAUGACCAAGCAGAUUCAUAUCCUGUAAAACAUGUCUGAGCAGCAGAAAGAAGGGCCCCAUCCGCUUGAGAGCAGAAGACUGAGCCCAGGAAGGCUGAGAGGGGCUAUGGAGGAACAGUCUGGAGACAACCCUGGCUCUACCCUUUCCUUGCUAUGUAACCACAAAUAGAUGGCAUGUCCUCUCUGAGCCUCAGUUUCCUCAUCUGGAAUAAUAAUACCUAUUAUCUGAGAAUUACUGCAAUGAAAAGAGGUGUGUAUGUUCCAGUUUUGCCCCUAGAUCAGUAACCGAAAAUAUAACUGGUGGGAGUAGUUAGGGCAGGGAAGAAAUACACUGUCCAAAAAUGCAUUGUUCCAAGAAAAAAUGUUAAGAUAACACCUUGACAUGAUGGAUGGUGGUGAAAGUCUCAUAAAGACUAAAGAGUGCUAACAGCUGGCAAGGUGUAACCCCUACUCUGUGCACUGCAGUCCCCUGCCAGGAAGUGGAUUGAG